GUGUGUGUCCGUGUAAAGUGAUCGUGGCAAAGCAGAGAGAGAGAGAAAGAGAGAGAGAUGUAGCACUGGGACUCUCCUCUGUCACUUUUACUUGUAAUCAUCUGUCCGGCGCCAUCCACGGCGCAAUGGGGGCGUUUUGAAGCGCCUGCUUUAUGAGGAGUCGCAUUAUACGAGUGAGCCACGCAAUGCGACCGAGGAGAGCUGCCUCUCGGAGGAUAUAUUGCGGCUUCUGGACUGCUUAGUCGGAGUAGCUUGGUGCUAGCGCGGGGCUAACGUCUUGUGCUGGCUUCUCCGGAGCGUAUCCUGUCAAGAUGCUGCGGUGGAUCCGGCAGCAGCUGGGCUUUGACCCUCCUCAUCAAAGUGACACCAGGACUGUUUAUGUAGCAAACCGUUUCCCUGAGCAUGGCCAUUACAUACCGCAGCGCUUCGCAGACAACAGAAUCAUCUCAUCCAAGUACACAAUCUGGAAUUUUGUCCCCAAGAAUUUGUUCGAGCAGUUUCGCAGGAUAGCGAACUUCUAUUUCCUCAUCAUCUUCCUUGUGCAGUUAAUGAUAGACACUCCAACUUCCCCAGUUACCAGCGGGCUGCCUCUCUUCUUCGUGAUCACAGUUACAGCUAUUAAACAGGGCUACGAGGACUGGCUGAGGCACAAAGCGGACAACGAGGUGAACGGAGCUCCAGUGUUUGUGGUUCGCAGUGGGAGUCUGGUCCAGACAAGAUCCAAAAAUAUCAGGGUUGGGGACAUUGUCCGUGUUGCUAAGGAUGAGACGUUCCCAGCUGACCUGGUGCUGCUGUCGUCGGAUCGUGCGGACGGCACCUGUCACAUCACCACAGCCAGCCUUGAUGGAGAAACCAACCUUAAGACCCAUUUUUCUGUGCCAGAGACGUCGGUGUGUCAGUCGGUGUCCCAGCUGGAGGCCUUGCACGCCGUGGUGGAGUGUCAGCAGCCGGAGGCCGACCUCUACAGGUUUGUUGGACGUGUAACCAUCACGCAGCAUGGAGAAGAGAUCGUCCGACCGCUGGGUCCAGAGAACCUGCUGCUGCGAGGGGCCAGGUUGAAAAAUACCAAAGAAAUAUUUGGUGUGGCCGUUUAUACGGGGAUGGAAUCCAAGAUGGCGCUCAACUACAAGUGCAAGUCCCAGAAACGCUCAGCUGUUGAGAAGUCGAUGAACUCCUUCCUGAUCAUCUACCUGGUCAUCCUGCUGUCGGAGGCGAUCCUCAGCACCAUCCUGAAGUACGCCUGGCAGUCCGAAGACAAGUGGAACGAGCCUUUCUACAACCAGAAGACCGAGCAGGAGAGAAACAGCAGCCCGAUCCUUCAGUUCAUCUCAGACUUCCUGGCGUUCCUGGUUCUCUACAACUUCAUCAUUCCCAUCUCGCUCUACGUUACUGUGGAGAUGCAGAAGUUUCUGGGCUCCUUUUUCAUUGGCUGGGAUAUGGACCUGUACCACGAGGAGAGUAACCAGAAAGCUCAGGUCAACACGUCUGAUCUCAAUGAGGAGUUGGGACAGGUUGAAUAUUUGUUUACAGACAAGACGGGUACGCUAACAGAAAAUGAAAUGCAGUUCCGCGAGUGUUCGAUAAACGGCAUCAAGUACCGGGAGAUGAACGGCAAACUGGUACCAGAGGGGAUGACGGGGGAUUCACCAAGCGGUUCUUCACCUCAGCUGAUGACUGAGGAGUUAUUAUUCCUCAAGGCCGUGUCACUGUGUCACACCGUCCAGAUCAGCUACAACCAGUCAGAGUCCUGGCUGGGAGGGGAUCCGUUCUCCCACACCAACAGUUUCUCCUUCAGCCACAUGGAGUACUACGCCUCCUCACCGGAUGAGAAGGCGUUGGUUGAGGGAACGAAGAGAAUUGGUGUGGCGUUCACAGGCUGCAGCGGGGACACCAUGGAAAUAAAUACAUUUGGGAAAUCUGAAAAGUAUAAACUGCUCCAUGUGUUGGAGUUUGAUCCAAACCGCAGGAGGAUGAGCGUCAUACUGCAGACUCCCUCAGGAGGGAAAGUGAUUUUCACAAAGGGUGCUGAGUCGGCCGUCUUGCCUUUCGCCACGACUGGAGAGAUUGAAAAAACCAGGCUGCAUGUGGACGAGUUUGCUUUGAAAGGUUUGCGUACCCUCGUUGUCGCAUGCCGCCACUUCAGUCCGGAGGAGUACAUCGCUGUGAACAAGCGGCUGACGUUUGCUCGCACGGCUCUGCAGCGGCGUGAGGAGAAACUGCAGCAAGCUUUCGCCUACAUCGAAAACAAUCUGCACCUCCUGGGAGCGACCGGCGUCGAAGACAAGCUUCAAGACAAAGUUCCGGAGACGAUCGAAGUCCUGCGUCGGGCGGGAAUCAAAGUAUGGGUGCUGACGGGGGACAAGCACGAGACGGCGGUCAGCGUCAGCUUGUCGUGCGGCCAUUUCCACCGAACCAUGAACAUCCUGGAGCUUCUGCAGCAGCGCUCCGACAACGAGUGUGCAGAGCAGCUCCGCAGGCUGGCCCGAAGGAUAAAGGAAGACCACGUCAUCCAGCACGGCUUGGUGGUCGACGGCGCUAGUCUGUCGUUAGCAUUGAGGGAACAUGAGAAGCUAUUUAUGGAAGUGUGUAAAAGCUGCUCAGCUGUGCUCUGCUGCCGCAUGGCCCCGCUGCAAAAAGCCAAGGUUGUUCGCCUGCUAAAGACUUCUCCAGAAAAGCCAAUAACAUUAGCUGUUGGGGACGGAGCCAAUGAUGUCAGUAUGAUACAGGAAGCUCAUGUAGGCAUAGGCAUCAUGGGAAAGGAGGGUCGUCAGGCCGUGAGAAACAGUGACUAUGCAAUCGCCAGGUUUAAGUUCCUGGCUAAACUCCUGCUGGUCCACGGCCACUUCUACUACAUUCGAAUUGCUACUCUUGUACAGUACUUUUUCUACAAGAAUGUGUGUUUUAUUACACCACAGUUUUUAUACCAGUUCUUCUGCUUGUUUUCACAACAAACACUGUAUGACAGUGUUUACCUGACGCUGUACAACAUCUGCUUCACCUCGCUGCCCAUCCUGGUGUACAGUCUGUUUGAGCAGCUGGUCCACCCCGACAUCCUGCAGGCUAAACCUGGCCUCUACAGAGACAUCAGCAAGAACUCUCUGCUGUCGUUCCGGACGUUCCUGUACUGGACGGCGUUGGGCUUCACUCACGCCUUUGCGUUUUUCUUUGGCUCCUACAUCCUGAUGGGGGAGGACACCUCUCUCAUGAGCAACGGACAGAUGUUGCGAGCUAACAGGCAGCUGAUGUUUGGGAACUGGACGUUUGGAACGCUCGUCUUUACUGUCAUGGUCAUCACCGUCACGCUAAAGCUCGCAUUGGAGACUCAGUUCUGGACCUGGAUGAACCAUUUUGUGACGUGGGGCUCAAUCGCUUUCUAUUUCAUCUUCUCUUUCUUUUACGGAGGCAUCAUCUGGCCGUUCUUGCACACCCAGGACAUGUACUUUGUCUUCGUCCAGCUGCUGUCCUGCGGCUCGGCCUGGUUCGCCAUCGUCAUCAUCGUCCUCACCUGCCUGUUUCCUGAAGUGAUGAAGAAGGUCCUCUACAGACACCUGUGUCCCACCAGCACACAGAAGAGCCAGAUGGAGCAGGGUGAGGGUUCAGUCGGCCCAGAAUAUGACCCUGUUAAAGCCCAGCGGAGCCCAGGGGAGGACAAUUGGCACCUGCUAGCUGCUUAUCCUCCCCCUGCCGCCCCCGGCCCAGACUCAUGCUCCCCUAGUCUCUAUCCGCCCCGCAGGCGCAGGCCCUCAGCUGUGUGGAGUCCCUGUGCUGCUACCAACAUGGGCAAAGCGGCUGUUCCCGCCUGGCCCGCCUCCUGGAACAAAUGACGGGACAAUGCAAGGCCGGCGUCAACAAUUGCCACACAUCCAGCCGCAGCAACAGGUCUUGGAGCGACACAGAGAACUUCUACUCCAAUGACCGCACCAUCCUGACUCUGUCGCCCAUCGAGGCCAGCCGCUGUUGACUCCCACGGCCGCCACCCCUAACACACACACCGGUACCGUUUUACGAGCCCACUCCAGUUUAAAAUCAGUGGGAACCAGGCAGGAUUGGGUCCGUAGCGUCUUUGUGUCCCUGCGGCUCACAGAUUCAUAGAAAGAAUGAGACGAGCAUCAGAGGAAAUGAAACGGGUCAGAAGAUGCGAUCAGCCCACGAACAGGAAAUAUCAGAUUCCUGAAAGAUGAUCCGAAAAACACAUUUAAAAAACAAGAAAGGCAUCGGUUUCUUUCCUCUGGACAGAAAACAGACCUGAAUCUUAACAAACUUACUCUGAUCCAGACCUUUUUCUUUUUUCUACGAAUGUUGCCAACACUGCAAAAACACAAAAUCUUACCAAGUGUUUUUGGUCAAGUUUCAGCUGCAAAUAUCUUAGUACAUUUGAAUUAAGACAAAACUAACUUACAAGAAACUUUUCAUCAAGAUAUAGGAGCUUUUAUGAAGUAAAUAAUGACUUAAUAUUGAUUGACGUAAAAGUACUAGUUCCA
Xiphophorus hellerii (green swordtail) is the source of this 4481-nucleotide RNA transcript. It is a transcript of the gene named ATPase phospholipid transporting 11B, with no coding region annotated. The record is from RefSeq and is a predicted model, not a curated record. NCBI's taxonomy places the organism in Eukaryota, Metazoa, Chordata, Actinopteri, Cyprinodontiformes, Poeciliidae. The transcript has 32 exons.